AUUAGGGGGUAGAUCAUUCGGUUCACGGCAAUCACCGGGUUAUAGGGCGCGUACACAGCAAUCACCGGGUUAUAGGGCGCGUACACAGCAAUCACUGGGUUAUACUCAGGCUGUCUGCACUCACUCACUCCAUGCAGCCUGGCCAGUAAGCACACAUUCAGACUGUCUGCACUCACUCCAUGCAGCACUGUGACAAGACCAUUCUCGCCACUGUGCAUUG
Molecule: non-coding RNA, 220 nt
Organism: Pelobates cultripes (western spadefoot toad)
Lineage: Eukaryota; Metazoa; Chordata; Amphibia; Anura; Pelobatidae
Source: the annotation of a GenBank genome assembly